GGGUUGUGAGGUUAAGCGACUAAGCGUACACGGUGGAUGCCCUGGCAGUCAGAGGCGAUGAAGGACGUGCUAAUCUGCGAUAAGCGUCGGUAAGGUGAUAUGAACCGUUAUAACCGGCGAUUUCCGAAUGGGGAAACCCAGUGUGUUUCGACACACUAUCAUUAACUGAAUCCAUAGGUUAAUGAGGCGAACCGGGGGAACUGAAACAUCUAAGUACCCCGAGGAAAAGAAAUCAACCGAGAUUCCCCCAGUAGCGGCGAGCGAACGGGGAGCAGCCCAGAGCCUGAAUCAGUGUGUGUGUUAGUGGAAGCGUCUGGAAAGGCGCGCGAUACAGGGUGACAGCCCCGUACACAAAAAUGCACAUGCUGUGAGCUCGAUGAGUAGGGCGGGACACGUGGUAUCCUGUCUGAAUAUGGGGGACCAUCCUCCAAGGCUAAAUACUCCUGACUGACCGAUAGUGAACCAGUACCGUGAGGGAAAGGCGAAAAGAACCCCGGCGAGGGGAGUGAAAAAGAACCUGAAACCGUGUACGUACAAGCAGUGGGAGCACGCUUAGGCGUGUGACUGCGUACCUUUUGUAUAAUGGGUCAGCGACUUAUAUUCUGUAGCAAGGUUAACCGAAUAGGGGAGCCGAAGGGAAACCGAGUCUUAACUGGGCGUUAAGUUGCAGGGUAUAGACCCGAAACCCGGUGAUCUAGCCAUGGGCAGGUUGAAGGUUGGGUAACACUAACUGGAGGACCGAACCGACUAAUGUUGAAAAAUUAGCGGAUGACUUGUGGCUGGGGGUGAAAGGCCAAUCAAACCGGGAGAUAGCUGGUUCUCCCCGAAAGCUAUUUAGGUAGCGCCUCGUGAAUUCAUCUCCGGGGGUAGAGCACUGUUUCGGCAAGGGGGUCAUCCCGACUUACCAACCCGAUGCAAACUGCGAAUACCGGAGAAUGUUAUCACGGGAGACACACGGCGGGUGCUAACGUCCGUCGUGAAGAGGGAAACAACCCAGACCGCCAGCUAAGGUCCCAAAGUCAUGGUUAAGUGGGAAACGAUGUGGGAAGGCCCAGACAGCCAGGAUGUUGGCUUAGAAGCAGCCAUCAUUUAAAGAAAGCGUAAUAGCUCACUGGUCGAGUCGGCCUGCGCGGAAGAUGUAACGGGGCUAAACCAUGCACCGAAGCUGCGGCAGCGACGCUGAUGCGUUGUUGGGUAGGGGAGCGUUCUGUAAGCCUGCGAAGGUGUGCUGUGAGGCAUGCUGGAGGUAUCAGAAGUGCGAAUGCUGACAUAAGUAACGAUAAAGCGGGUGAAAAGCCCGCUCGCCGGAAGACCAAGGGUUCCUGUCCAACGUUAAUCGGGGCAGGGUGAGUCGACCCCUAAGGCGAGGCCGAAAGGCGUAGUCGAUGGGAAACAGGUUAAUAUUCCUGUACUUGGUGUUACUGCGAAGGGGGGACGGAGAAGGCUAUGUUGGCCGGGCGACGGUUGUCCCGGUUUAAGCGUGUAGGCUGGUUUUCCAGGCAAAUCCGGAAAAUCAAGGCUGAGGCGUGAUGACGAGGCACUACGGUGCUGAAGCAACAAAUGCCCUGCUUCCAGGAAAAGCCUCUAAGCAUCAGGUAACAUCAAAUCGUACCCCAAACCGACACAGGUGGUCAGGUAGAGAAUACCAAGGCGCUUGAGAGAACUCGGGUGAAGGAACUAGGCAAAAUGGUGCCGUAACUUCGGGAGAAGGCACGCUGAUAUGUAGGUGAGGUCCCUCGCGGAUGGAGCUGAAAUCAGUCGAAGAUACCAGCUGGCUGCAACUGUUUAUUAAAAACACAGCACUGUGCAAACACGAAAGUGGACGUAUACGGUGUGACGCCUGCCCGGUGCCGGAAGGUUAAUUGAUGGGGUUAGCGCAAGCGAAGCUCUUGAUCGAAGCCCCGGUAAACGGCGGCCGUAACUAUAACGGUCCUAAGGUAGCGAAAUUCCUUGUCGGGUAAGUUCCGACCUGCACGAAUGGCGUAAUGAUGGCCAGGCUGUCUCCACCCGAGACUCAGUGAAAUUGAACUCGCUGUGAAGAUGCAGUGUACCCGCGGCAAGACGGAAAGACCCCGUGAACCUUUACUAUAGCUUGACACUGAACAUUGAGCCUUGAUGUGUAGGAUAGGUGGGAGGCUUAGAAGUGUGGACGCCAGUCUGCAUGGAGCCGACCUUGAAAUACCACCCUUUAAUGUUUGAUGUUCUAACGUUGACCCGUAAUCCGGGUUGCGGACAGUGUCUGGUGGGUAGUUUGACUGGGGCGGUCUCCUCCUAAAGAGUAACGGAGGAGCACGAAGGUUGGCUAAUCCUGGUCGGACAUCAGGAGGUUAGUGCAAUGGCAUAAGCCAGCUUGACUGCGAGCGUGACGGCGCGAGCAGGUGCGAAAGCAGGUCAUAGUGAUCCGGUGGUUCUGAAUGGAAGGGCCAUCGCUCAACGGAUAAAAGGUACUCCGGGGAUAACAGGCUGAUACCGCCCAAGAGUUCAUAUCGACGGCGGUGUUUGGCACCUCGAUGUCGGCUCAUCACAUCCUGGGGCUGAAGUAGGUCCCAAGGGUAUGGCUGUUCGCCAUUUAAAGUGGUACGCGAGCUGGGUUUAGAACGUCGUGAGACAGUUCGGUCCCUAUCUGCCGUGGGCGCUGGAGAACUGAGGGGGGCUGCUCCUAGUACGAGAGGACCGGAGUGGACGCAUCACUGGUGUUCGGGUUGUCAUGCCAAUGGCACUGCCCGGUAGCUAAAUGCGGAAGAGAUAAGUGCUGAAAGCAUCUAAGCACGAAACUUGCCCCGAGAUGAGUUCUCCCUGACCCUUUAAGGGUCCUGAAGGAACGUUGAAGACGACGACGUUGAUAGGCCGGGUGUGUAAGCGCAGCGAUGCGUUGAGCUAACCGGUACUAAUGAACCGUGAGGCUUAACCUUACAACGCCGAAGCUGUU
This 2929-nucleotide ribosomal RNA is filed under the name Escherichia coli. RNAcentral's name for it is "bacterial LSU rRNA". It matches the Rfam family "Bacterial large subunit ribosomal RNA". Lineage: Bacteria; Pseudomonadati; Pseudomonadota; Gammaproteobacteria; Enterobacterales; Enterobacteriaceae. The record is from RNAcentral.